Molecule: unclassified non-coding RNA, 387 nt
Filed under: soil metagenome
Description: partial contains 5.8S ribosomal RNA, internal transcribed spacer 2, and large subunit ribosomal RNA
Rfam family: 5.8S ribosomal RNA (bases 1-120)
Source: RNAcentral
GAUGAAGAACGCAGCGAAAUGCGAUAAGUAAUGUGAAUUGCAGAAUUCAGUGAAUCAUCGAAUCUUUGAACGCACCUUGCGCUCCUUGGUAUUCCGAGGAGCAUGCCUGUUUGAGUGUCAUGAAAUUCUCAACCUUUUCAGCUUUCUUUGUUGAUCAGGCUUGGAUGUGGGAGUAUGCGGGCUUUUCAGAAGUCGGCUCUCCUGAAAUGCAUUAGCGGGACCUUUGUUGCCUGGCUUUGGUGUGAUAAUUAUCUACGCCAUUGUGGUCAAGCAGCUUAAAAUGAGGUUUCAGCUUCUAACCGUCUCCCCUGAGACAACUUUUUGACAAUUUGACCUCAAAUCAGGUAGGACUACCCGCUGAACUUAAGCAUAUCAAUAAGCGGAGGA